RNAcentral lists this ribosomal RNA (960 nucleotides) under Triticum aestivum (bread wheat). RNAcentral describes it as "partial small subunit ribosomal RNA". The record is from RNAcentral. Lineage: Eukaryota; Viridiplantae; Streptophyta; Magnoliopsida; Poales; Poaceae.
AUGGAAUUGAGCCCGUGCGAGAAGUUUCUGCUCUCCGAUUCGUCCGAUUCGGACAACUCGGAUGUUGAGAUGAUGCUCUCAAACUUUCGGGAACGAGAUGUUGAUGCAAGACUAUUUCACGGAGAAUCCAACGUAUCCACCGCACCCCUGAGAAGGUGCCGAAUGCACCGAUCCCUCUUUGUGAAAAUUGUUCAAGCUUGCGAGGCAAAUUGUCGGUAUUUUACUCAACGAAGAAAUAUUGCGGGCUUGAAGGGAUUUAGUGCAUAUCAAAAAAUCUCGGCAGCUAUGCGGGUGAUUGCAUAUGGCGUUCCGGCUGAUUAUGCCAAUGAGUAUCUUCGCGUUGGUGAAGAUGCAACAAUUGAGUCAGUGCGUAGACUUGCCAAAGUGAUCAUCCGUGUCUUUGGUCUCGAAUAUCUUCGGGCACCGAACGAAGAUGAUACAAAGAGAUUGAUGGCAUCUAAUGAGAGGAGAGGUUGGCCUGGCAUGCUAGGUAGCAUUGAUUGUAUGCAUUGGACAUGGAAAAAUUGCUCGAAGGCAUGGCAGGGAAUGUAUUGUGGCAAGUCUCGUGAUGCAACAAUUGUGUUAGAGGUUGUAGCAUCCGAGGAUUUAUGGAUUUGGCAUUGCUUCUUUGGUAUGCCGCACACUCUCAAUGAUAUCAAUGUGUUGCAACAGUCUCAUUUGUUUGCUAGGCUUGCUAGUGGUGAUGCUCCUGCUUGCAACUACACUAUCAAUGGGCAUGAAUACACAAAAGGGUACUAUCUUGCAGAUGAUAUAUACCCUCCUUGGUGCACAUUUGUCAAGAGCAUCAAAGAACCCAAAACUAAAAAAAAUGUAAAAAAUGUGAGUUCGCGAAGGUGCAAGAGGCAGCCCGAAAAGACAUUGAAAGAGCAUUCGGGGUUUUGCAAUCUAGGUUUGCCAUUGUUCGUGGUCCUGCUCAUUUUUGGGACAAGCGGACCUUGA